Long non-coding RNA from Diceros bicornis minor, 1773 nucleotides. RefSeq lists it as uncharacterized. Lineage: Eukaryota; Metazoa; Chordata; Mammalia; Perissodactyla; Rhinocerotidae. The transcript is spliced from 3 exons. The record is from RefSeq and is a predicted model, not a curated record.
CUUUAAAAUGAACAUAUCCCUUGACUCUGUAAUUCCACAGGUGUGCAUUUAUCCUCAGGAAACAAACUAUUACAAGAACGCACAGACAGAUGUUUGAUGGGUAGCACUGAUCUGAGGGAAAACAGAGAAUCAAUAGCCUAGAGCUAUCAUCUCCUGACUUUGAUUUUUCAAUAAUAUAUAUUUCCAAGUGCUAAUAUAUACAUUAUAAAACAUACACAAACAAAUCUUAAAAGGAUAAAAUACGAAUUCGAAUAUUUUCUUCCCACGUAUCAACAGAUCACCUUGAGCAUUUCCUGAAUGAUGCACACCUUACCAUGCAGACCACUGGACUAGUGUAUCAGUGGUGAAAAGUGAUAAAAGAAAAAGAUAAGAGGGAGGCCAGAGUCAUGACAGUUACCACGACCACCUCAAGGCUGAACUAUGGGCAGAAACAAAAAAUCACAUUUUAACCUUGACCAUCAGCAGACAGCCUGAGAACAACGCUGUAGUCUUUCCCUGCAGUUAGGACAUUUAGAAAGCCCUGGGCACAAGUUACACUGUAGCUGGGAAGUGCUACCAGGCAGAACUGGACUCAGCCUUAGCCUUGCAAACCCUGCACUUUUUGCCUUUCCAAACCAGCCACACAAAGACCGAGGUGGGGCUCACCUAUCAACUUAGGGGUUGAGGUGUACUUCCCCCGUUUGCAAACCUUUUAAUAAAGCUUCACUUUUCUUUAAAAUUUAUCUUUGCCUUGUAAAGCUACUCAUUUCAGUUACCAUUUCUGGCGACGGGGAUGGGAUGUGAAGCGACUGCCUGAUCUCCUGGUCACUGCGUGCCAGCACAACCUGCAGCCGGCUGACUGCUCCUCCGCAUCUCCAGCGGCCUCAGGAGGACGAUCAAGCAGGACACAAUUGGAACACUGGUUAUAUUACCAAGGCUUUGACUGGAAUGUCAUAUUUGAGAAAAACAUCCAUAAACACAGAUAUGACCAAACAGCUUUGAGGAACAAGGAUUGCCUGUAUGGAAUAAAUAAAGCCACUUAGAAAUACUGGACUGGUACUUUGCUUACGGAGUUCCUAACAACCUCACCAGUGGUAUCUGGAUGCCACCCCGCCACUGGCAACCCACAUGAUGCUGGAUGAAGCCACCACCUACGUUCAGCCCAUGCUGCCCUCUGAUGCCUCCCACGUGGGACUAGAUGGAACCCAAGCAGCUAAAGGGGCCCUUGGGCAUCAAGGGAACUAAAUACUCCCUGAACUGAUCAAAGGUCUUGCCCUGGGGAACCUAUGAUCAAGAAAGGGAAAUGAUAAAAGAAAAAGGUAAGAACGAGACCAGAGUUAACGUGAUGGUUACCAUGACCACCUCAAGGCUGAACUAUGGACAGAAAUAAAAAAUUACAUUUUAACCUUAACUGUCACCAGAUGGCUGGAGGACAAUGCAGUAGUCUUUCCCUGUAGUUAAGACAUUUAGAAAGCCCUGAGCACAAGAUACACUGUAACUGGAAAGGGCGACCAAUCAGAACUGGACUCAGCUUUAGCCUUUCACACUCUGCACUUUUUGCCUUUAAAAACCAGCCACACAAAGACCAAGGCCGCGGCUCACCUAUCAACUUGCAGGGUGAGGUGUACUUCCCCAGUUUGCAAACCUUUUAAUAAAGCCUCAUUUUUCUUUAAAACUUAUCUUUGCCUCAUAAAGCUGCUCAUUUCGGUUAACAAAAGCAUCGAGGUUAGUUGUUGCAAGAUAACGUGUGGAAUCAGUGAAUUCUAUGAGAAGUAAAGCAGUUAAACCCUACGG